GUAGUUAGCCGGGGCUUCCUCCUUGGCUACCGUCACUUUCUUCGUCACCAAGGACAGAGGUUUACAACCCGAAAGCCUUCAAUCCCUCACGCGGCGUUGCUGGGUCAGGCUUGCGCCCAUUGCCCAAUAUUCCCCACUGCUGCCUCCCGUAGGAGUCUGGACCGUUUCUCAGUUCCAGUGUGGCCGAUCAGCCUCUCAGCUCGGCUACCCAUCGUAGACUUGGUGGGCCGUUGCCCCGCCAACUAUCUAAUGGGACGCGAGCCCCUCUCCCUGCGGAUUUCUCCUUUGACCCCUCUGCCAUGCGACAGUGUGGUCUUAUGCGGUAUUAGCACCAGUUUCCCGGUGUUAUCCCCCUCAGAAAGUCAGGUUGCUCACGCGUUACUCACCCGUCCGCCACUCAGUCACCUUAGAGAGCAAGCUCUCCAAGGUGCUUCGUUCGACUUGCAUGUGUUAAGCACGCCGCCAGCGUUCAUCCUGAGCAGANACAACUACUGA
Molecule: ribosomal RNA, 495 nt
Filed under: uncultured bacterium
Lineage: Bacteria
Description: partial 16S ribosomal RNA
Source: RNAcentral